Molecule: ribosomal RNA, 301 nt
Filed under: uncultured bacterium
Lineage: Bacteria
Description: partial 16S ribosomal RNA
Rfam family: Bacterial small subunit ribosomal RNA
Source: RNAcentral
CAGUCGCCACGGGAAUACGGAGGGUGCAAGCGUUAAUCGGAAUUACUGGGCGUAAAGCGCACGCAGGCGGUCUGACAAGUCAGAUGUGAAAUCCCCGGGCUUAACCUGGGAACUGCAUUUGAAACUGUCAGGCUGGAGUCUUGUAGAGGGGGGUAGAAUUCCAGGUGUAGCGGUGAAAUGCGUAGAGAUCUGGAGGAAUACCGGUGGCGAAGGCGGCCCCCUGGACAAAGACUGACGCUCGGGUGCGAAAGCGUGGGGAGCAAACAGGAUUAGAUACCCCUGUAGUCCCUGUCUAUUAUAU